Molecule: ribosomal RNA, 531 nt
Filed under: Triticum aestivum (bread wheat)
Lineage: Eukaryota; Viridiplantae; Streptophyta; Magnoliopsida; Poales; Poaceae
Description: partial small subunit ribosomal RNA
Source: RNAcentral
AUGCAGCGCGCGAACCUAGCCUUGGUGCGACGGCGGCGCGGCUGCUGUCCUCCCGUCCAACCCGCAGCACGUCGAGCCUCACCGGAGUUCCUCCAUGACGCCGGAAGCAGCUGCCACUGCCCUCCAUGGAGCCCCGACGCCUCCGCCAUGAACCCAUCCAUCCCGACCUCCUGUGCGCGCUUCCCUGCAACUCCAGACGCCGCCCGCAGCUCUCUGCAUCGAGCAGCAGCAGUUCGGGCAGAGGACGACGCCUCUGCCUCGACCGCUCGCCCCCUCUGCUUCGCGCUGGACUGCCAAGUCCCUCCCGUCCUCAUCCCCAUGCAGCUGCGCGCUCUCGCCUGCCCCCACGGCGAGCUCCGCCUCCUGCGUGCGGUCGCCGCCUCCCUCAACCUCCACCACCUGCUGCAAGUUGGUGCCCGGCGGCGGCAGAGUUGCUGCUCCCGUGUCGUGAUUGGACUCCGUGUUCUUCUCCAACAGCAAAUACGUGUUCUUCUCCAACACCAAUCAAUGGAUUUCCCGAGCCGGAUUUGA